Molecule: ribosomal RNA, 867 nt
Filed under: uncultured archaeon
Lineage: Archaea
Description: bacterial SSU rRNA
Rfam family: Archaeal small subunit ribosomal RNA
Source: RNAcentral
CUNCCGGUGAUCCCGCCGGACCCGACUGCUAUCAGAGUGGGACUAAGCCAUGCGAGUCGACGUAGCAAUGCGUGGCGAACGGCUCAGUAACACGUAGUCAACAUGCCCAGGGGACGUGGAUAACCUCGGGAAACUGAGAAUAAACCACGAUAGGUCACGAUUUCUGGAAUGGAUCAUGGCCUAAAUCUACAUGGCCCCUGGAUUGGACUGCGGCCGAUCAGGCUGUUGGUGAGGUAAUGGCCCACCAAACCUAUAACCGGUACGGGCCUUGAGAGAGGUGGCCCGGAGAUGGACACUGAGAGAAGGGUCCAGGUCCUACGGGGCGCAGCAGGCGCGAAACCUUCGCAAUGCGCGAAAGCGUGACGAGGUUAAUCCGAGUGACUCCCGCUGAGGGGGUCUUUUGUCAGCUGUAAAUAGGCAGGCGAAUAAGGGGAGGGCAAGCCUGGUGUCAGCCGCCGCGGUAAUACCAGCUCCUCGAGUGGUCGGGGCGAUUAUUGGGCCUAAAGCAUCCGUAGCCGGUUCCGUAGGUCCUCUGUUAAAUCCAACCGCUUAACGGUUGACCUGCAGAGGAUACCGCGGGACUAGGAGGCGGGAGAGGCGGACGGUACUCCGCGUGUAGGGGUAAAAUCCUUUGAUCCGCGGAAGACCACCAGUGGCGAAGGCGGUCCGCCAGAACGCGCUCGACGGUGAGGGAUGAAAGCUGGGGGAGCGAACCGGAUUAGAUACCCGGGUAGUCCCAGCCGUAAACGAUGCUAGCUAGAUGAUUCAUUCGCAAGUCGCGAAUGAAGUGUCGCAGGGAAGCCGUUAAGCUAGCCGCCUGGGGAGUACGGUCGCAAGACUGAAACUUAAAGGAUUGGCGGGGGAGCA